GACGAACGCUGGCGGCGUGCCUAAUACAUGCAAGUAGAACGCUGAAGAGAGUAGCUUGCUCUUCUUGGAUGAGUUGCGAACGGGUGAGUAACGCGUAGGUAACCUGCCUGGUAGCGGGGGAUAACUAUUGGAAACGAUAGCUAAUACCGCAUAAAAUUGAUUAUUGCAUGAUAAUUAAUUGAAAGAUGCAACUGCAUCACUACCAGAUGGACCUGCGUUGUAUUAGCUAGUUGGUGAGGUAACGGCUCACCAAGGCGACGAUACAUGGCCGACCUGAGAGGAUGUUCGCCCACACUGGGACUGAGACAAGGCCAGACUCCUACGGGAGGCAGCAGUAGGGAAUCUUCGGCAAUGGGGGAAACCCUGACCGAGCAACGCCGCGUGAGUGAAGAAGGUUUUCGGAUCGUAAAGCUCUGUUGUAAGAGAAGAACGGGUGUGAGAGUGGAAAGUUCACACUGUGACGGUAUCUUACCAGAAAGGGACGGCUAACUACGUG
This 496-nucleotide ribosomal RNA is filed under the name uncultured bacterium. RNAcentral describes it as "partial 16S ribosomal RNA". It matches the Rfam family "Bacterial small subunit ribosomal RNA", at positions 28 to 507 of the family's 1533-position model. The record is from RNAcentral.